AUUGAACGCUGGCGGCAUGCUUUACACAUGCAAGUCGAACGGCAGCGCGGUCUUCGUCCUGGCGGCGAGUGGCGAACGGGUGUGUAAUGCAUCGGAACGUCCCCAGGUGGGGGGGAUAGCCCCGCGAAAGCCGGAGUAAUACUGCAUACUACCUGAGGGUGAAAGAUGGGGACCGUUAGGCCUUUCGCGAUGUGAGCGGUCGAUGUCGGAUUAGCUAGUUGGUGGGUUAAAUGCUUGCCAAGGCGACGAUUCGUAGAUGGUCUGAGAGAGCGACAGGCCACACUGGGACUGAAACACGGACAAGACUCCUACGAGAGGCAGCAGUGGGAAAUUUUGGACAAUGGUGGCGAACCUGAUCCAGCCAUGCGGCGUCCGAGACAACAGCCUUCCGGUUGUAAACCGCGUUUGUUCGGGAAGAAACCCUCUGGGCUGAUACCACGGGGGGAUGACGGUACUGGAGGAAUAAGCACCGGCUAACUACGUG
RNAcentral lists this ribosomal RNA (484 nucleotides) under uncultured bacterium. RNAcentral's name for it is "partial 16S ribosomal RNA". It matches the Rfam family "Bacterial small subunit ribosomal RNA", at positions 30 to 507 of the family's 1533-position model. The record is from RNAcentral.